This 527-nucleotide ribosomal RNA is filed under the name uncultured Glomeraceae. RNAcentral's name for it is "SSU rRNA". It matches the Rfam family "Eukaryotic small subunit ribosomal RNA", at positions 548 to 1078 of the family's 1831-position model. Lineage: Eukaryota; Fungi; Glomeromycota; Glomeromycetes; Glomerales; Glomeraceae. The record is from RNAcentral.
UUGGAGGGCAAGUCUGGUGCCAGCAGCCGCGGUAAUUCCAGCUCCAAUAGCGUAUAUUAAAGUUGUUGCAGUUAAAAAGCUCGUAGUUGAAUUUCGGGGUCAGUAGGUUGGUCAUGCCACUGGUAUGUACUGGUCUCACUGAUUCCUCCUUCCUGAUGAGCUGUAAUGCCAUUAAUUUGGUGUUGCGGGGAAUCUGGACUGUUACUUUGAAAAAUUAGAGUGUUUAAAGCAGGCUAACGCCUGAAUACAUUAGCAUGGAAUAAUGAAAUAGGACGUUCGAUCCUAUUUUGUUGGUUUCUAGGAUUGACGUAAUGAUUAAUAGGGAUAGUUGGGGGCAUUAGUAUUCAAUUGUCAGAGGUGAAAUUCUUGGAUUUAUUGAAGACUAACUACUGCGAAAGCAUUUGCCAAGGAUGUUUUCAUUAAUCAAGAACGAAAGUUAGGGGAUCGAAGACGAUCAGAUACCGUCGUAGUCUUAACCAUAAACUAUGCCGACUAGGGAUCGGAUGAUGUUAAUUUUUAAUGACUCA